RNAcentral lists this long non-coding RNA (605 nucleotides) under Ananas comosus (pineapple). RNAcentral describes it as "long non-coding RNA (ACOM_LNC033433)". Lineage: Eukaryota; Viridiplantae; Streptophyta; Magnoliopsida; Poales; Bromeliaceae. The record is from RNAcentral.
GUUAGGUCAAAAAUUUUAUAAUUGAAGAGAAAUCAAUUGACACUACAACAGAAUUGGGUUAUAGCAACACAUGUUUGGGACACUUUUGUGUAAGUGUCCCAUUUAUACCAAAACUUAAAAAAAAUCUACUAAUGCCUAAAUAAAAAGCCCAAUCCAACCAAAAAUAAAAGAUUACUCUACUCAACCCACCCCACCCAGCCUAUUUGGUCCGAUUACAAACAGAAAAGAAAAAAAAAAAAGAAAAAUCGAUUAUCAUCUGCUCUUCUCCCCUUACCCAAUCCACUGAAAUUCUAGACGAAGAGCCCUUCCCUCUACUCAUCCUCCGCUACCGCAGUCAACGAGGUAGAGUUCUGGCGGUUGCUAAAUACUUAAAUAAGUAUUAGUAAAUAAGCAGCACUCUUUUUGGUUUAUACCGACACUCUUUAACUGUCACUAUAUACCUAGCGACCUCACAUAUAGCAACACUUUUUAAAAGUGUAGGUAAUUUAGGCAGCAGCACUUGUUUUGACCUGUACCGAUAUUUAAAAGUGUCGCUAUAGACCGUUUUUGUUGUAGUGUGAUUUAAUUGAAGAGUGAUCUUAUCUAUUAUUUUGUUUUUAAUUUAA